Molecule: ribosomal RNA, 153 nt
Filed under: Pseudomonas aeruginosa
Lineage: Bacteria; Pseudomonadati; Pseudomonadota; Gammaproteobacteria; Pseudomonadales; Pseudomonadaceae
Description: partial 23S ribosomal RNA
Rfam family: Bacterial large subunit ribosomal RNA
Source: RNAcentral
GGUUAAGCGACUAAGCGUACACGGUGGAUGCCCUGGCAGUCAGAGGCGAUGAAGGACGUGCUAAUCUGCGAAAAGCGUCGGUAAGGUGAUAUGAACCGUUAGAUCGAACGCUGCAACUGCUGGUUGACCCGCUGCUGCUGCGCCAGCGGCGGC